This 51-nucleotide non-coding RNA is filed under the name uncultured Pyramimonadales. Lineage: Eukaryota; Viridiplantae; Chlorophyta; Pyramimonadophyceae; Pyramimonadales. The record is from RNAcentral.
CCAACUGGGUGCUAUCGUUCCAGUCGUCACUCCCGCCAUGAACGAUGUCAA